Non-coding RNA from Sturnus vulgaris (Common starling), 5321 nucleotides. The record is from RefSeq and is a predicted model, not a curated record. NCBI's taxonomy places the organism in Eukaryota, Metazoa, Chordata, Aves, Passeriformes, Sturnidae.
UUUUAUUUUAUUUUAUUUUAUGAUUUUCAGUGCAGUUCACUGCAUUUCAUUUUCUAGGCAUCCUGCAGAGCUGAUAUCAUAAGACUUGAACGACGUAACAAAUAAUAUCCCACCAUCUGAAAAUACUCAUGUAUCUGACCAAUUAAAGAAGAGGAACAAAUAACGAAAUGGAAAAUUACAAAUGUUGAUAUCCGAUGGUUACAGUGAGGAGAAUAAGGAAGCUUCUGUUUUGUGUUGUUUUGGGUUUUUUUUCUAUAGUGUAACAAAAGAGUUCUUAACUAGGUAAAUCAUUACCCAUUGUAAACCAUCAGUUUAUUUUUGCUAAAAUGGUUAGAUGUAUGUAUGCUGUUUUCAGAACUCCAGCUGGCAGGAUGCCCACACUUCAGCAUGUGAUUGACCAAGGGUGUUUUACUUUAUGCAAGAAUAAAUGCACUUGAUAAUUAUCAUUUGAUUGAAGAGCAGCCAUGUAGCAGUUCUGCAGAAAAGAAUUGAAAGAUACCAGUAUCCAUUCUAGAUGGCUUCCUUGGCUGACAGGUCUGAAGAAUCAAAUGUUCAAAAUAAAGGCUGGCUUAUUUAAACUCCUCCCCAGGGAGCAGUUCCAUAGUGUUAUCCAGCUUGCAGUUCCUAGAGCAUAAAUUAAUUCAAGCUGCAUUCACUGCUCAUUUUCUUGAGCUGUAUUAACGUGGAUAGUGAGCAAUUGUGGGUUAUGUGGCAGCAUUUUAACAGAUAUACAGAAACACUGGCCAUUUACUCCAUUAUAGGACAUAACUAACCUGUGUGUAGCAAAAAUGAUGCUUGUCCUGGAAAAGGAUGACCAGAGACCCUAACACAGUCUGUAGUUUUACACUGAAAUGUGAGAAUGUGAGUAUUAACUGGUAACACCUUAAAAUCAUGAGAUCCAUAAAACAGUAUAGACAACCAGUGCCUAUGGGAAAGUAGAGGAAGGUCUGCAUUUAGUAACAUGUUAGGACUUCUCAGGGGAAGAAGCUGUUUAGUAGUGGUUCAUCAUUCCAGCAGCAGAUCUAAGCUUCUGCUGCUGCUUCAAGUACUUCAAAGGUGAAUUUGAAAACUGCUGAGUAGUUUAAAGAGACUGACAUAAUGAAGAUUAUUUAGACCACCACAUGGCUGCUAUCAUCUGGGUUCACUUCUCUGUGCAGCUACGGGUGAGACAAGGUAAGAAUCAGAUUUAAUUCAUUCUUCCUCUGUCCCUUUCUAGCCAGCAAGGCAGCUGCCUAAGUGUUUCUGCCAUGCAUGUAGUUUGGUAUUUAUGGCUUUUUAUGUGUUAAGUUGGGAUGAUUGAGAGGGAAUCUAACAUCAGAACUUUCAUUCAGUUCCUCCUAAAGAGAAAACUCUCUUCCAUCCAAACAAUUUCAUAGUUCAUCAGUUGGCUUUGCCAUUAUUCAUUGAACAAACCAUUUCCCCUUUUUCAGGAUCUAUGAAUAUUUGCUCCAAAAUCCAUCCAUUCCCAGAAAUCCUUUAAAUCUUUUCUAACAUUAUCCUUAGAGGUAGCUGGAACUUCAGUCCCUUCAGGCAACUCUUCCUGCCCUCUGAGGGGCGUUUCUUUUUGUUGCUGUGAUGUGAAGAUUUUUCUUGUGAUUAAGUGGGGUUGUUAUGUCCACCAAAGCUGAGUCCUCAGCUUUGAGAUCUACAAACACAUACAUAUCUACACCUAUGUAUUCACGAUCAAGCUGUUGUCCUAAGAAAACAAAAGAGCUGGACUGGAAUGGCCAAUUGGAAACCUGCUGUAUUAACUGAAAGACAAUGGAGAGUAGAGAUAUGAUAUAUCUUUGAUAUGAUCAAAUAGAAUCAAAUAUUAAAACUAAAGCAAGCAAAGGCCCAAUCUCAGAAAAGACUUUGUCAGCUGUUUAGCUGUAAUUUCUCUGUUUAUUACUUGUAGCCUUAUUCAAAGCCGGGCAUUCUCUGACCUUGUGCCUGUAAUAACAGCCAUGUGUGAUGGACUUCAGAAGUAACUUAUGUAAUUUCUCUUGGGCUGUAUAGUAAAAUAGCAUAUACUUGGAAAUAUUACAGUCAUAUCAUACUAAAAAUAAAUCUGUGAAUCAUUAUCACUCAAAAUGACCAAGUGAUUUUCUCAUUGUAUUGAUGUUCUCAUUAUAAAUAUGUUUUAAAAUAAAAGACCUUCACCUUGUUUUCAACUUCUUAUUUAUAUCUAUUUUGAAUUCCAUUAUAUUAUGAAAUAACAAUGUUCUUAAAUGGGGAGAGGAGAAAAAAAAAGACAAAGCCCAAAAUCCUAGGAGGAAGAAAAAUGUUAACUAUUUCUGCUGGCAUGGCACUGGCAAAUACAGAUAUCUUACAAUCAUAAUGGAGAUUAGUAGAGCUGGGUGUGCAUAUUUGUUAUGGAUCAAAGAUAGGAUAUAGUGAUUAGAAGAAUGACAAUGCUUUCAACACUCACAAAGGGAUUGAAUGUGUGAUUUAUAAUACUAAUUCCACAAAACCUUUCCAUGGCUGCUUACUGCACAAGGGAUUCAAUAUAGAUUGAUCACUGGGAAAAAAAAUGUAUUUCCUUCAGCUCAGUUGGAUGCAACUAACAAAAAGUCUUUUCAGUAUUGACACUGUCUGAUUUAAGAGAUAACCCCUCUGCCGUUUACUCUACUCUUCUGCUACAGAUUACUGUCCCCACACUGUAACCAUCAGAGAACUUUUUGUGUUACUUUCCCAGUGCCCAUAAUUCACAGCUCAGUAUUUUAGCUUAUAAUUAAUCUAUUUACUCUGAUUAAAAUGACAAUUUUAUAUAUAUAUAUACACCUGGCAGAAAUGUUAAAGAUGUUGAUGCCCUGGAAAAGCAAACAGUAGCCUCUACCCUGAGGAUACAUACCUCUGAUUUUCUAUUUACUAUCCAUCAAAAGCACAGAUUCAGUUAUGAAUUUACCACUGGUUCUACUAGGGGACUUUUGGCAGACAUUCAGUCUCUCUUUGUUCUGGUUUCUAAAAUGGAAUAAUGUUACAUAGAUGUCAUGGUAAAAAUGUAUUUGUAAGUAUGCUCUUACCCUUUCUAGAGCUAUUGCACUGGGGAAUAGUUUUGGGCACGUGUACUGCUGAGGCAGACAUGAUCAGUGUUUUGGCUGUAGCAGAGCAGAAGAGGGAAUGCAGCACUCCCCAGCAGGGCUGGGGAACUUCUGGACUAUGACAUGUGCAAAGAUUUUCACAGCCAGCUGGAAAAGGACACCAAGGUGAGGCUUAACAUUUAGUGUCAAACUAGGUGUGAGCCACAGAACUAGCAAAGUAGUUAUGCUCUUACUUUCCUUUUUCCUUUAAACAACAGCUACUCAUCUUUGCAAGGACUCUCUGUGGUAUUUUCUCGAGAGUCUGUAGCAGUCUGUAGGUAUUUCAUAUGCACCAUGAAGUCCUGAUUUCUGGUUGCCUAGAUGAAGGUGGCUAUUGGAAGCACAGUUAACUCCAGUUGCCCCCCAGGGUCUGUGGGGCACUAUGUACAUUUCACUCCAUCAUGUGCUUGGAUCAUGGAAGCACUGGGAGUGGGACUUCCUACAUGACAUGGAAUCAGACAAUUUCAGAGAUGAGGAAUUGCAUUUUUUAAUUUCUCCAACCAACUGAACAAUUUUUUAAUGAUUGCUUUUCUUCCUAAGAAGAGAAAGCCCUUCCUUAUAACAUUAAUAGACUAAUAACUUGGAUAACACAAUUUAUGUGACAUUAGAAAGCUUAGUGAUCUGGUGAGGUCUAAUUAUGAAAAAUAAUAAUGUGUACCCAGGGACUGAACUUGCAGAAGGUUUUCCAAAUCUAGGUCCAUUUGCUAACUAUAAAGAUUCAUCUACUGAUUAAAUUUUGGACUUUGCAAUCUUCAGAGAUAGGACUUAACUUGUUUAACUAAAUACUUUAUAAAAACCUCCACCCUAAGGCUUCAGGCAUCACUGUGAUCAUUAAGGGAUGAUAAUAAUAAUACCUGGCGAAAGGGGGGAAAAAGCUUUCCCUGUUUUCCUGUGUAUCAGAGAUGAGAAUCUCUGCACCUAUCAUCUCUGGAGCUCAAGCUAAAGGAUCUAGGGGAUAUAUUUGCAACAGUUUCUCCAGGAAUGGCUGCUAAGCAUCAUGUGUGGCUUAGUAGGGGAAAAAAUACAGCAUUUGGGACUUAACUUGACAUCAGAUCCCCUUGACUGUUUACUUGCUUUGCUUACAAGACCGAGAGACACAGGACAUGUUUAUGAGCUAAGGCUUGAACCUUUCUCACAAGCUACCUGCAUUCCCCAGGAACCAGCCCCUGCUCUUCUACAAGCAGAACUGACAACCAACAGAUGCAGUAAGAUAACAGAGCAUACUCAUUUGCCAUUUUAUCACCACUAUUAACCUCAAGAGGAAAUUUGUGUCUAAGGUUUUUUUCUUCCUCCUAAGACUAUUUUUUAAAAUGCAAAUCCUUCUUGUCAUUCAGCAGGUUCUUACUGGAACUUCCUGAUGCAAAUACCUCUUCACAUGCAGGGCUUUUUCUUCCACAUCCCACUGUGACUCCUGCAGAGAGGAACUGUUCUAGUGUACUUCUCCAUCUCCCUCAGACCAGAUGAUCAAAGAACUCCUGGAGAGUGUUCUUGGCCAGAAAUACAACAUAAAAAUGGAACUAGAUGAACCAGAACAAGAGCAAUAUUUUUCUCUUGGGUAAAUAUUACUUUUGUAAGAGUUGUAUAUUUUUUUUCCAGCUCCUACAAUGUGUUACAACACAGAAGCCAGACAAAACAAAUGGAUAAAGACGUUAAUGUAUCACAGAAUAUUCUUCAUUCUUUCUUCUUCUAGUUUUUUUAUGUCUCUUAAAAAUGAAAAUGAGCCAAUAUCAAAACACAAACAUUACCUCUUUUGGGAUGUUAUUUUUAUUAUACUGCUUAUAAUUUAAAACAUUUUAAAAAAAAAUCUCUUUCUCUUUUUAAGCUGACCUAUUCCAGUAUGACAUAAAAAAGUGCAUUAUAUGCAUUUGAAAUAUCAUUGGAAGUAUUGCUUCUUUUAGUUAUUGUUUAGCUUGCGAAGUCUUCAUAAGACCAUUUUUUUAUUGUCAUAGUUGUGUAAAUCAUGUAAGCUUCUGUAAGAAACUGUAAGUUUCAUGUAAGCUCUCUGCAAGAGAAUUCCUUCAAUUAAUUACAGCAAAUGAUAUCAGUAAUACUGAGCAUCAGGUAGAUGCUAGAGAAAACUUUCCUAGAUUUUCACCAGAAGUUUGCCAAUUUAUUUGUUAACUAAACGGUUGACUUAGUAUCAGAUGGCUUUUUGUCCUCUGUAGGCAAGGCUGAUAGUUUUGUUUCAGUUCCAAGACAGCUAAUAUGUAUAGUACCUUACAUUCCCUAAAUGUGAGAUUCAGUCCUUUUGACUGAAUA